UACAGAGGUGGCAAGCGUUGUUCGGAAUUACUGGGCGUAAAGGGCGCGUAGGCGGCCAUCUAAGUCAGACGUGAAAUCCACCGGCUUAACCUGGGAACUGCGUCUGAUACUGGAAGGCUUGAGUAUGGGAGAGGGAUGUAGAAUUCCAGGUGUAGCGGUGAAAUGCGUAGAUAUCGUAAGGAAGACCAGUGGCGAAGGCGGGUCUCUGGACAGUUCCUGACGCUGAGGCACGAAGGUCAGGGGAGCAAACGGG
This 253-nucleotide ribosomal RNA is filed under the name uncultured bacterium. Its description in RNAcentral is "partial 16S ribosomal RNA". It matches the Rfam family "Bacterial small subunit ribosomal RNA", at positions 524 to 776 of the family's 1533-position model. The record is from RNAcentral.